Non-coding RNA from Acipenser ruthenus (sterlet), 74 nucleotides. The record is from the annotation of a RefSeq genome assembly. Lineage: Eukaryota; Metazoa; Chordata; Actinopteri; Acipenseriformes; Acipenseridae.
GGUUUCAUAGUGUAGUGGUUAUCACGUCUGCUUUACACGCAGAAGGCCCCUGGGUUCGAUCCCCAGUGGAACCA